RNAcentral lists this ribosomal RNA (775 nucleotides) under uncultured Neocallimastigales. Its description in RNAcentral is "partial large subunit ribosomal RNA". It matches the Rfam family "Eukaryotic large subunit ribosomal RNA", at positions 24 to 645 of the family's 3401-position model. Lineage: Eukaryota; Fungi; Neocallimastigomycota; Neocallimastigomycetes; Neocallimastigales. The record is from RNAcentral.
UAUGUGAUCGUCUCUCGCAUAUCAAUAAGCGGAGGAAAAGAAACUAACAAGGAUUCCCCUAGUAACGGCGAGUGAAGCGGGAAGAGCUCAAAUUUGAAAUCUUAAAGGGUUUCCCUUUACGAAUUGUAGUUUAAAGAAGUGUUUUCUGUUGAGGUUUUGGUAAAAGUUCUUUGGAAUAGGACAUCAUAGAGGGUGAGAAUCCCGUAUUUGACCUUUACUUUCAACUUUGUGAUACACUUUCAAAGAGUCGGAUUGUUUGGGAAUGCAGUCCAAAAUGGGUGGUAAAUUUCAUCUAAAGCUAAAUAUUGGCGAGAGACCGAUAGCGAACAAGUACCGUGAGGGAAAGAUGAAAAGAACUUUGAAAAGAGAGUUAAACAGUACGUGAAAUUGUCAAAAGGGAAGCGUUUGACACCAGUGUUGUUUUUCUGAAAAUCAAUUAAAGAACUGUUUAUGCUAAGUUGUUUAGACUUUAUCAGCUAACUGUUUAGUUUUGAGCUUUUCUUUAAUGCACUUUUCAGUUAACAAGUCAACAUCAAUUUCUUUUGCUGUAAAAAAGCUUGAGGAAGGUGGCUUGAGAUUCGUCUUAAGUGUUUAUAGCCUCUUGCCUAUGCAGUCGGAGAGAUUGAGGUCUGCUAGCGUAGAUCCUUCGGGGCUAAAUGCAUUUGUGCUAAGUUAUAGCAUUUUAUAGACAACUUGUUGACUAUGAUUUGUCUUGUAGCUUACUCGCUUAUGUUAUUUUACCUACGCUUAGGAUGUUGAAGUCAUCGUAUCGCGC